AGUUGUACUUUUGCAGGUUGGAGUUAACAUAUAUAGUGGACCUUCAACAGAAUCAAUGGGACGUUAAUUUUUUAAAUGGCUAUGAGAUGCAAUUAAUAUUCCACUGCACGUUUUCCACACUGUUCAUUUCUAAAUCAAAUAUGUAGGCAUUUGUUACCUCUGAUGAUUUCCUCACAAAUAUAACACUUUUUUAGUAAGAAUCUUUCCACUUAGAGCCCUAGAAUUAUAGUGCUACUUUAAUUCUUCUGCAUUGACUUUUUCUUUCAUGCUGUCAGCUUUGAAUAACAAUCACAGUAAUGGCAGAGAACAGGGGAAGAGAUCAGGUCAUUAACAAAGAAUGGUAGACAAGUCAAGUCUGUACUGGCUUACCACUGAGCCCAUGCAAAGGAGGAGAAAUACCUCAGUUAAAAAUUUUCCAUCAAAAUCUUUAAGAGUAUACUGAAGAAAAGACAGUCAUAGCACUUCCAGCAACUUCUAAAGGCUACAUGUUUAAUACUUCAUGUAAAAAUUACUCCAAAUUUGCACUAAAUACCAAUGAAGUGUUAUUUUUCUUUAGUUGUGUUGCAGUCUUUUCUGAUCAACAAACUAUGGGGGAAAUUCUGUAAAGCAUAUAAGAAUUCAAGACUUUUAAAAGAAAUGAAUGAUUGCUAGUUAAAUACACAAGCUUUUUUUUUUUUAACAAAUAUACACUUCUGGCAAGGUUAUAGAUGAUUAACCUCUGUUCAUAAGACUUAAAUAUACAAAACUAGAGGUUUUUUGUUUACUUUUUUUUCAAGUGCAAUUGUUUCUUAUACAUGUUACUAUUAAAUUAUCAUUUUAGCCAGUUAUUAGCAAAUUGUAGUAUGUAUUGUCUCUUCUUGUGACAUUUAGUUUUAAUUGCUUAUUUUAAAGCAGAAACAUUAGAAUUACAAGUGUCUUGCAAUAUUUUUAUCAACAAUAAAAUGUAGUAGACUUAACAAUGAAAAUACCUUAGUGUGAUUUUAAUAUUAUUUUGAGAUUUUGGUUGUAUAAAGUUUUAAUGUAAAAUGUCCAUUAUUGAAGGAAAAAGACCUUUCAAUAAAAAAUACCC
RNAcentral lists this long non-coding RNA (1069 nucleotides) under Bos taurus (domestic cattle). Its description in RNAcentral is "long non-coding RNA NONBTAT022433". Lineage: Eukaryota; Metazoa; Chordata; Mammalia; Artiodactyla; Bovidae. The record is from RNAcentral.